GUGCAGAGCAGCUCUUGGUGUGCUCCUUGCAGGAGGAUCACCUCGUCUGAGCUGUUCUCAGAUUACGGCCAGUGUCCUUUUGUUUCUCUAUUUUCUUGCACAGUCCGUGGACUGGUGCAAGUGUCCCAUUUUUCACCUUUUUACUUGCACAGUCUCAGGACUCGUGCAAGUGUCCUGUUUUACCCCUUUUUACUUGCACAGUCCCGAGACUUGUGCAAGUGGGGUUUUUUUUCCAUUUUUGUUUCCUGGCCUACGGACUCGAGCAGCCCUGCUCAAAGGAUGGAGCGAGUCCGUAGAGCAGUCAGCAGCGCCUUUUCAUUGGCGGCUUCUUGGAAAGCUUUUCUUCGUUUGGCUGCUCGCCUCAGAGGUGGAAGGAGUCAAGCGCGCACUUCGGUCCCGCGAGGAGAGGAUCUUGCCAGUCAGGACUCCUGGGCCCAGACAGGAAAGGCGGAGCGGCAGGAGAGCACGGACGGAGUGCACGGUGCCC
Long non-coding RNA from Passer domesticus (house sparrow), 487 nucleotides. RefSeq lists it as uncharacterized. NCBI's taxonomy places the organism in Eukaryota, Metazoa, Chordata, Aves, Passeriformes, Passeridae. The record is from RefSeq and is a predicted model, not a curated record. The transcript has 3 exons.